CAGCAGCCGCGGUAAUACGGAGGGUGCGAGCGUUAAUCGGAAUUACUGGGCGUAAAGCGUACGCAGGCGGUCUGUUAAGUCAGAUGUGAAAUCCCCGGGCUUAACCCGGGAACUGCAUUUGAAACUGGCAGGCUAGAGUCUCGUAGAGGGGGGUAGAAUUCCAGGUGUAGCGGUGAAAUGCGUAGAGAUCUGGAGGAAUACCGGUGGCGAAGGCGGCCCCCUGGACGAAGACUGACGCUCAGGUACGAAAGCGUGGGGAGCAAACAGGAUUAGAUACCCCGGUAGUCCCUGUCUCUUAUAA
This 301-nucleotide ribosomal RNA is filed under the name uncultured bacterium. RNAcentral's name for it is "partial 16S ribosomal RNA". It matches the Rfam family "Bacterial small subunit ribosomal RNA", at positions 509 to 809 of the family's 1533-position model. The record is from RNAcentral.